GUCUCUGUUGAAAGUUACGGCGGCGACGGAUUGGCUCGCGUCCGAUUAGCUUGUUGGCGGGGUAACGGCCCACCAAGGCUACGAUCGGUAGGGGUUCUGAGAGGAAGGUCCCCCACAAUGGAACUGAGACACGGUCCAUACUCCUACGGGAGGCAGCAGUGAGGAAUAUUGGUCAAUGGGCGGAAGCCUGAACCAGCCAUGCCGCGUGCGGGAAGGAGGCCCUAUGGGCUGUGAACCGCUUUUGCCUGGGGGCAAUAAGGGCGUCGCGCACGUCCGAUGAGAGUACCAGGGGAAUAAGCAUCGGCUAACUCCGUGCCAGCAGCCGCGGUAAUACGGGGGAUGCGAGCGUUAUCCGGAUUCAUUGGGUUUAAAGGGUGCGUAGGCUGUGCGUCAAGUCAGGGGUGAAAUUCCGGGGCUCAACUCCGGGGCUGCCCUUGAUACUGUCGCGCUGGAGUGCGGAUGCCGCCGGAGGAAUGAGUGGUGUAGCGGUGAAAUGCUUAGAUAUCACUCAGAACACCGAUUGCGAAGGCAUCUGGCGAAUCCGUAACUGACGCUGAGGCACGAAAGCGUGGGGAUAGAACAGGAUUAGAUACCCUGGUAUUCCACGCCGUAAACGAUGAUGGCUAACCGCCGGCGACAUACCGUCGGUGGCCAAGCGAAAGCGAUAAGCCAUCCACCUGGGGAGUACGUCGGCAAC
Molecule: ribosomal RNA, 697 nt
Filed under: uncultured Bacillota bacterium
Lineage: Bacteria; Bacillati; Bacillota
Description: bacterial SSU rRNA
Rfam family: Bacterial small subunit ribosomal RNA
Source: RNAcentral